This 1368-nucleotide long non-coding RNA is filed under the name Linum usitatissimum (flax). Its description in RNAcentral is "long non-coding RNA (LUSI_LNC005804)". The record is from RNAcentral. Lineage: Eukaryota; Viridiplantae; Streptophyta; Magnoliopsida; Malpighiales; Linaceae.
UAUAUAUAACGAAGAACACGCACUCACAAUUCACACAAACUCAAGCAAAUUAAGAACAAGACAAUGAAAAGCUCUUCACCAAAAUUUGCUCUCCUUUUCCUUCUCUUGAUCCUCAUUGCAGGUAAGAGUGAAAACUAUAAAUCAUAUUCGUAACCAUUUAGAAUUUAAUUAGUUGCAUCUCCUAACAACUCGAGUUAGCAAUCAACUCAUAUAGCAAUUUCUAAUCACCUCCAUCCCUAAAAUACUUUAACAAUAUUUCAAAAAGUAAUUUUUUAAGGAAAAUGUUAAUUAAUAAGUACUCUUACGUCCUUAAUAAUUUUCUAAAUGAAAUGACACAUCACCCUCCAUUUUAUUUAGCGAUUGCUAAAAAUAUAUCGAUGGAGAUAUUCCAAGUAUUAUAACUAAUUUAUUAAGAUCAGGAUUAUUUUAACUAUAUGUUAUUUCAAUUUUUUUUAAUAUAUACAGUGUAAUUAUACCUGAGAUAGACAGUAACGUAAAUGGAAAUGGUUGCAUGCAUGCAGGAGAUGAGAUAAUUAGCGCACGGAAAUACACGGUGACGAAAGUGGGGGAGUGCGAGUGCGAGAUAUGCACAUGUAAUAAUGAUGGGGUAUGUACGUGUGCUGGACAAGUAGCAGUGAUGGGCAAUGAUGACGACCAGCACCUUUUAUCAAAGGAUAAGGAUGAAGUUAAAAUUAGUAAUUGAUCAAACUUUGUAAAUUAUGAAGUUAAUAAAAAUUGGUUAUUGGGUGAUAUUGAAUAAAUGAAUUAUAGUUUGUAAUUUUAUUUCCGGUGGGAAGAUUUUGUAGUAAAAUAAAUUGGAUAUUUGGUGUUUUUAACUUUUUUAAUUGGCGAAUUCAAGCUAUGAUAUAUUUAAUUUGUCCGCAAUUAUAUGCAAUGAUAAGAAGAUGAUCAUAUUCGAUAUUUGAUACACCUCCUCCUCCUCUUGGGUGAACUGAAGGUACUUGUAGAGUCUAAUGUUACAAUUCCGACCGGUUUGAUCACCGUCGUUAAUUAUAUAUAUACCGUCAUUUCAGGUUUAACGGUGGCGAACGUGUCGGAGAGCCGAGGACGACAACAAUGCUAUAGGGACAUCGAUUGCGCAUUCUAUUGUGCGAAACUCCAUCAAGGGAUUGCUCUCUGCAACUACAAAACUGGCUACUGCAUUUGUCUGCCUCCUCUUGCCCCCCUAUUCCGGAUAUCGUUAGGGACUCGUGUUUGUGUGAGUAUUUUGGGAGAACGGAAAUUUGAAAUAGUAAGAGAUUCGAAAUGGUUAUUGUUUUUUCAGAAGAUUUGUAAUAAUAAAUGCAAACUGGAUUUAUGUACAGAAAAUAAUUGAAAGAAAAAUUAAGACUUUUGAGUUUUUGACAG